UUUUAUAUCUGAGGUUUCCGUUGACUUCUUUUAUCUGCAACCUGCCUCCCCUUUCCCUCCCUGCUGACCCAGAGGCCGCUGCCGCACCGAGCCGCCCAGGGCCGGCCUCUCCCGGCCUCCUGUGCCAUGUUUUAUGCAUGAAGAUGAUGGGGCGGUAAUUUAUUCAGCAGAGAGGAUCUGGGCUCCUGUGUCGGCCCCAGCGUCAGCAGAGCCGCGCGCAGUGGCUGGCAGGGUGGCCUGAAAUGGGAAUCCAUCUCUGCAGGCAGGAGUGAGGGGCAGGGCUGCUGAGCCACAAGGCAACACGGGUUGUGGGGUUUACCUGCCCGGGUCCCUGGUGCCCACAGGAGUGCGUGGCCACUUGCUGGUGGGCAGUAAGAAUUGGUCAAACAGGUGAAUGACUCACUGAAGCCAGCUCAGCGAUGGGAGCAAGCUUCUGAGGGCAAGAAUUAUGCAUUCCUGUCACAUACAGCAAGUGACAUGGAGGUGUGACUUGGGGCAGCCCCCAGAUCUCCAUCACCUUUCCACAGCCUUCCCAAGGCAACGGUAGACACUGAGAUCAUAACACAGUCUCCGUCAGGCGCCCAUGAGGUCUCUUACUGCAGCAACUGGACGACGCCCCUGACUGGCCAGUGCAGUUCAAGAAAACCAGGAGUGGACCCGUGUUCUGGAGACCCAGGAAGACGCCCGUGUUCUUCAUUUCUCUUCUACAUGGCACUUAACAGACCUCAAAUCUGGGAGAAUCAGACCUUCUUUCCUCCUGGCUAAGCCACACAUUUCCUAGAGCUUCUGCUACGUGCGUCUCCCACGUUCUGACGUGCAGGACUCACAGCAGCACAUCACCUCCACAGCAGGCCAGGGGCGGCACGUACAGUCGGGGGAAAUGAGAGGCCACAGAAGAGCCGGCGUUUCCUUCCUCAGAUUUAAAUCUCAACAGUUCCCUUCUUAUAUCAUGGAGGGGCGGCGUGGGGCAUGGAGCGGGAAGCCUACCACUGCCUCCCUCUGCUGCUCUUUUCCACCGGGGUUGGCCGUGCUGCAGGCCUGGGCUGCAAGGGGCUGUUUCCUGUUGUGAAUUGCUGCACUCCAUCUUCUCUUUCAUCAUCUGCACACACAUGAAUGCCUGGAGUCAAUUGCUUUGUGGAGUGUUAGUCUCCUAAGGAAAAUUUCCAUCUGUGUUAAGUGCAGUUUCAAUGUUUACUCUUCUUGAAGCCCGCGUUGCUAUUAAAUUUUCAUAAGUCACAGAAUUUCAUGGUGGAAAUGCACAGAAUCUGCUAGGAAUGACGUGACGUGUUAGAAGCGCACGGGGGAGAAGCACAAUUAUGUGGUCCUUUCCUCUCUUCCCCUCUAGUCAUUUUCAAUAAGUGGAGCUGGACGUUAGACCUGGGAGCCAGAGCCCGGCAUGGCUGCUUCUGCCUGAAAGCCGUCCUGGGAGGUCAGAACUCCCUCCCACCCCUGGGCCAAGGGUGGAAACUGUGGGGCAGAGGCACCCAGACUUAGGAAGGCCACACGGGAAGCGUGGUGUCACUGUGAGAUAAAUGCUCAUGGAGCGCAGGAGGAAGACGGCAGCACAGAGCUGACUUGCCUCUCCGCCCCGUUGCACAAGAGGGCUCGCCCACGUUCUGGAACCCGCCGAGGUCUGGAAGCUAAGCACCGUGUGCUGCCUGCAUGCAUUACUGAACACUGACAAAGAGAUCGGCUGUGUCACAAGCUUUACCUGGAUAGGUGGCUUUAUUUCAUUUCCCCCACGUGGUUCUAAGCAUUUUACUAAUAAAAAAGUGAAGUUGA
Long non-coding RNA from Marmota flaviventris (yellow-bellied marmot), 1782 nucleotides. RefSeq lists it as uncharacterized. Lineage: Eukaryota; Metazoa; Chordata; Mammalia; Rodentia; Sciuridae. The record is from RefSeq and is a predicted model, not a curated record.